Molecule: ribosomal RNA, 481 nt
Filed under: uncultured bacterium
Lineage: Bacteria
Description: SSU rRNA
Rfam family: Bacterial small subunit ribosomal RNA
Source: RNAcentral
AGGACGAACGCUGGCGGCGUGCCUAACACAUGCAAGUGGAGCGACGACCCAGGCUUCGGCCUGGUGCAAAGCCGCGAACGGGUGAGUAACACGUGGGUAACCUGCCCCGAUGAUUGGGACAACCCGAGGAAACUCGGGCUAAUACCGAAUGUGCCCUACAGCCGUAAGGUUGCUGGGGAAAGGAAGCUUCGGCCUCCGCAUCGGGAUGGGCCCGCGGCCCAUUAGCUUGUUGGUGAGGUAAUGGCUCACCAAGGCUACGAUCGGUAGCUGGUCUGAGAGGACGAUCAGCCACACUGGGAUUGAGAACGGCCCAGACUCCUACGGGGGGCAGCAGUGAGGAAUUUUCGUCAAUGGGGGCAACCCUGAACGAGCAACGCCGCGUGCAGGAAGAAGGUUUCGGAUCGUAAACUGCUUUUCUCGGGGAAGAGAACGGACGGUACCCGAGGAAUCGAGCCCCGGCUAACUACGUGCCAGCAGCCGC